RNAcentral lists this small RNA (1226 nucleotides) under Pongo abelii (Sumatran orangutan). Its description in RNAcentral is "processed transcript". The record is from RNAcentral. Lineage: Eukaryota; Metazoa; Chordata; Mammalia; Primates; Hominidae.
GACAGUCAUCAUAUGUAAUUAGCAAGAUCAAGCUAUGGUCAGAUGAAUAAUUUCGAAAAGGCAGCCUGCAAAGGACAAAAGUACAGGAGAGAUGCUGAAACAAAACGCGCUGGGUAGGAUGCCUUCAUCAAAAGGAGCAUUCUGCAUUGGCGAUACGCACUGAGGAUCUGGCAAGAAUGCCAAUGAGGAACAUGAAGCCCAGAUAAUGAGGUCUGAGUGGUUAUAAUCACUAGCCCAUUCUGAAGAGUCCAAGCAGAUUCUGGAGUCCCACUGUGCUACACGAUCCAGCAAUUCUUCCCUGAACCAUAUGAUUUUAUACAGGUUGACUCUAAAUACUACAUAAUAGGCACUUUUCAUCAUAAGCAUUGGCUAAAAAUUUGAUUUUUCUUUAAAAAAACCUACGGACUUUAAAUAUAUGUAAAUGCAAAAAUAUAUGUAGAUGACAGUAUUCUGUGCAAUAUAGUUUCAAUUUGUAUUUUUUGCAAUGAAUAACUUUGUACAUGUGUCAUUUUGCAUGUUUGAACAUAUCUGUAAGAUACCUGAUGAUUUUUGACAAAUGUAUAUACUCCUGAAAAUACCACCUCAUCAUGAUACAGAAAAGUGACACUUAUGCCUCUUUGGAGUCAGUUCCCUGCCCCUAACUCUGGCCCAUAGCAUCCUUGAUGUGCUUUCUGUCUCUAUAGUUUUGCCUUUUUUACAAUUUCAUAUAAAUGGAAUAAUACAGUAUGUAGACUUUCAUGUCUAGGUAUUUUCCACUUAGCAUAAUACUUUUGACAUUUAUGUUGUUACAUGCAGCAGUUUGUUAUUUUUAUUGUCAAAUAGUAUUACUUGCUGUAGAUGUGCCACAAUUUAUCUAUUCACUAGUUGAUGGAGAAUUGGUCUGUUUCCAGUUAGGGGCUAAUAUGAAUAGUGUUGAUAUGAACAUUUGGCUGCAAGUCUUGGGUGAACAUAUGUUUUCUUUUUCCUUGGGUAAAUGUUUAGCACAUGGUUCUGCUGGGUUUUAUGGUUACUGCAUAUUUAAGUUAGUAAGAACCUACCUAAUUCUUUUGUGAAUUGGUCCUAACAUUUUGUAUUUCUACCAGCCAAACGUGGUAUAUUUUCAGUCUUAACUUUACACUUUGUAAGAAAUGUGUAGAGACAUCUUAUUAUGGUUUACAUUUUAGUUUUUCCAAUGACUAAAGAUGCUGAGCAUCCUUCCAUGUAUUAUUUGCUAUUUGUGUAUCUUC